RNAcentral lists this long non-coding RNA (267 nucleotides) under Elaeis guineensis (African oil palm). RNAcentral describes it as "long non-coding RNA (EGUI_LNC069363)". Lineage: Eukaryota; Viridiplantae; Streptophyta; Magnoliopsida; Arecales; Arecaceae. The record is from RNAcentral.
AGUGAGAGAUUAUUAGAUAUAUGUCCUAAAAGCUAAUUCUUGACUGACACAUUUCAUUCUACGAUACAAAUUUAUACUUAAACUAUUGAUUUAAUCAAUAAACAGUUAGUUUUUCUUUUUCAUUCAAGUAUUAUAUAUCCUUGAAUCAUCCUUAAAAUUAAUGUUACGAUACAUAUUCUCAAAUAUUGAGAAUUAGAGGCAUGUAUGAUCGAUUCCUAAAUUGCUUUCGAUCAUAGGAUAGUCAUGGGGAUGGUGAUUUAUCCAGAU